RNAcentral lists this transfer RNA (75 nucleotides) under Caudoviricetes sp. Its description in RNAcentral is "tRNA-Lys". It matches the Rfam family "tRNA". From Rfam's summary of the family: Transfer RNA (tRNA) molecules are approximately 80 nucleotides in length. Their secondary structure includes four short double-helical elements and three loops (D, anti-codon, and T loops). The record is from RNAcentral. Lineage: Duplodnaviria; Heunggongvirae; Uroviricota; Caudoviricetes.
GCGGUGUGGAGCAGUAGGAGUGCUCGCUCGAUUUUUAAUCGAGAGGCCGUUGGUUCAAAUCCAACCACCGCACCA